This 430-nucleotide unclassified non-coding RNA is filed under the name fungal sp. RNAcentral's name for it is "partial internal transcribed spacer region". The stretch from base 1 to 46 matches the Rfam family "Eukaryotic small subunit ribosomal RNA", at positions 1786 to 1831 of the family's 1831-position model. The record is from RNAcentral. Lineage: Eukaryota; Fungi.
AAGUCGUAACAAGGUUUCCGUAGGUGAACCUGCGGAAGGAUCAUUACCAAAGAACAACUGGUUGGGUUGUUGCUGGCCCCCUCUCCCUGGAAGGGGCACUGUGCACGCCUUGCCAAUUCACUUUGCUCACCUGUGCACCUCCUUGUAGGCCCAGGAUCACCAGAGAGGAAGAAGGGGGGGAAACGUGUCUCCUGUCGGAGUGCUCAACUUCUUUUCUUUUGCUUGGUGGAGGGAUCUGCUGUUGUGUCCUCACACGGAAUGGGUAUCUGUGAGAGAACAGAUAUAGACGGCUUUUUCCUUGCUCACGUCUGGCCUAUGCCUUUAUUUAAACCUGUAACAUCUGUAUCUGUAUGUGUAUUUGAACACGUGGGAUAACCACGAUUGUUUUUGAACACCAAUACAACUUUCAACAACGGAUCUCUUGGCUCUC